CGGCUGUAGCUAAAUUGAUUUACAGAGAGGUUUACUGGCCGCCCGUUGUGAGAUUCUAAAUCUCUGUCGACGGAUCUGCUUACCGAGCUUCUUACAUUU
Small nucleolar RNA from Rosa chinensis, 99 nucleotides. RefSeq annotates it as small nucleolar RNA snoR109. The record is from RefSeq and is a predicted model, not a curated record. Lineage: Eukaryota; Viridiplantae; Streptophyta; Magnoliopsida; Rosales; Rosaceae. The transcript has a single exon.